GCAUAGGUAGCUCAGAUGGUAGAGCAGAAGGCUCCAUUACCUUUAAGGUCGUAGGUUCGAUUCCUACCCUAUGCC
This 75-nucleotide transfer RNA is filed under the name Segatella copri. RNAcentral describes it as "tRNA-Trp". It matches the Rfam family "tRNA". Rfam says of the family: Transfer RNA (tRNA) molecules are approximately 80 nucleotides in length. The record is from RNAcentral. Lineage: Bacteria; Pseudomonadati; Bacteroidota; Bacteroidia; Bacteroidales; Prevotellaceae.